AGUUUUUUAUUAAAUAAAAGAUAGGACCCACCUGUCAGAUAUAAUCUUCUCUCUAUCUCUUUCCUCUCACCCCCUCUCUCUCUCUCUCCCGUUGGAUGCCGGCGGCUGGGGCUCACGUGCCGGUGGCAGCGGGCGCCUCCUCCGCCGCUUCGGCGGGAGUCGUCGGAAAUCAUAGGUGGGAGCUUCGACACAGCGGUGGCGCUGUUCAACGGCGGCGAGCUCCACGCGUGCCACGACGUCGUGGAGGAGCUCUGGAACACCGCCGACGAGCCCACUGGCCUGGACGCUGCUCCACGCAUCCUCCAGUGCGCCGUCAGCUUCCACCACCUCUUCAACCAAAACCACCGUGGCGCCAUGAUGGAGCUCGGGGAAGGCCUCUGCAAACUGCGCAAGCUGCGUCUCAAGGAGUGA
RNAcentral lists this long non-coding RNA (411 nucleotides) under Oryza sativa aus subgroup. Its description in RNAcentral is "lncRNA OsNaBo_05g0010380". Lineage: Eukaryota; Viridiplantae; Streptophyta; Magnoliopsida; Poales; Poaceae. The record is from RNAcentral.